UACGUAGGGUGCAAGCGUUAAUCGGAAUUACUGGGCGUAAAGCGUGCGUAGACGGUUAUGUAAGUUAGGUGUGAAAGCCCCGGGCUCAACCUGGGAAUUGCAUUUAAGACUGCAUAGCUAGGGUGCGGAAGAGGGAAGCGGAAUUUCCGGUGUAGCGGUGAAAUGCGUAGAUAUCGGAAGGAACAUCAGUGGCGAAAGCGGCUUCCUGGUCCAGCACCGACGUUCAGGCACGAAAGCGUGGGGAGCAAACAGG
Molecule: ribosomal RNA, 253 nt
Filed under: uncultured bacterium
Lineage: Bacteria
Description: partial 16S ribosomal RNA
Rfam family: Bacterial small subunit ribosomal RNA
Source: RNAcentral